RNAcentral lists this ribosomal RNA (207 nucleotides) under uncultured bacterium. RNAcentral's name for it is "partial 16S ribosomal RNA". It matches the Rfam family "Bacterial small subunit ribosomal RNA", at positions 568 to 774 of the family's 1533-position model. The record is from RNAcentral.
CUCGUAGGUGGCCAACUAAGUCAUGCGUGAAAUCCCUCGGCUUAACCGGGGAACUGCGUCUGAUACUGGAUGGCUUGAAUCCGGGAGAGGGAUGCGGGAAUUCCAGGUGUAGCGGUGAAAUGCGUAGAUAUCUGGAGGAACACCGGUGGCGAAGGCGGCAUCCUGGACCGGCAUUGACACUGAGGAGCGAAAGCCAGGGAGCAAACG